UUCCAGACUCCUACGGGAGGCAGCAGUGGGGAAUAUUGCACAAUGGGGGAAACCCUGAUGCAGCAACGCCGCGUGAAGGAAGACGGUUUUCGGAUUGUAAACUUCUAUCAAUAGGGAAGAAAGAAAUGACGGUACCUAAAUAAGAAGCCCCGGCUAACUACGUGCCAGCAGCCGCGGUAAUACGUAGGGGGCAAGCGUUAUCCGGAUUUACUGGGUGUAAAGGGAGCGUAGACGGUGAUGCAAGUCAGAAGUGAAAGCCCGGGGCUCAACUCCGGGACUGCUUUUGAAACUGUGUGACUGGAGUGCAGGAGAGGUAAGCGGAAUUCCUGGUGUAGCGGUGAAAUGCGUAGAUAUCAGGAGGAACACCAGUGGCGAAGGCGGCUUACUGGACUGUAACUGACGUUGAGGCUCGAAAGCGUGGGGAGCAAACAGGAUUAGAUACCCUUGUAG
RNAcentral lists this ribosomal RNA (450 nucleotides) under uncultured bacterium. RNAcentral describes it as "bacterial SSU rRNA". It matches the Rfam family "Bacterial small subunit ribosomal RNA", at positions 329 to 793 of the family's 1533-position model. The record is from RNAcentral.